UUAAGCGACUAAGCGUACACGGUGGAUGCCCUGGCAGUCAGAGGCGAUGAAGGACGUGCUAAUCUGCGAAAAGCGUCGGUAAGGUGAUAUGAACCGUUAUAACCGGCGAUGUCCGAAUGGGGAAACCCAGUGCAAUUCGUUGCACUAUCGUUAACUGAAUACAUAGGUUAACGAGGCGAACCGGGGGAACUGAAACAUCUAAGUACCCCGAGGAAAAGAAAUCAACCGAGAUUCCCCCAGUAGCGGCGAGCGAACGGGGAGCAGCCCAGAGUCUGAAUCAGCUUGUGUGUUAGUGGAACGGUCUGGAAAGUCCGACGGUACAGGGUGAUAGUCCCGUACACCAAAAUGCACAGGUUGUGAACUCGAAGAGUAGGGCGGGACACGUGGUAUCCUGUCUGAAUAUGGGGGGACCAUCCUCCAAGGCUAAAUACUCCUGACUGACCGAUAGUGAACCAGUACCGUGAGGGAAAGGCGAAAAGAACCCCGGCGAGGGGAGUGAAAAAGAACCUGAAACCGUGUACGUACAAGCAGUGGGAGCACCUUCGGGUGUGACUGCGUACCUUUUGUAUAAUGGGUCAGCGACUUAUAUUCUGUAGCAAGGUUAACCGUAUAGGGGAGCCGCAGGGAAACCGAGUCUUAACUGGGCGUUAAGUUGCAGGGUAUAGACCCGAAACCCGGUGAUCUAGCCAUGGGCAGGUUGAAGGUUGGGUAACACUAACUGGAGGACCGAACCGACUAAUGUUGAAAAAUUAGCGGAUGACUUGUGGCUGGGGGUGAAAGGCCAAUCAAACCGGGAGAUAGCUGGUUCUCCCCGAAAGCUAUUUAGGUAGCGCCUCGUGAACUCAUCUUCGGGGGUAGAGCACUGUUUCGGCUAGGGGGUCAUCCCGACUUACCAACCCGAUGCAAACUACGAAUACCGAAGAAUGUUAUCACGGGAGACACACGGCGGGUGCUAACGUCCGUCGUGAAGAGGGAAACAACCCAGACCGCCAGCUAAGGUCCCAAAGUCAUGGUUAAGUGGGAAACGAUGUGGGAAGGCACAGACAGCCAGGAUGUUGGCUUAGAAGCAGCCAUCAUUUAAAGAAAGCGUAAUAGCUCACUGGUCGAGUCGGCCUGCGCGGAAGAUGUAACGGGGCUAAACCAUGCACCGAAGCUGCGGCAGCGACACUAUGUGUUGUUGGGUAGGGGAGCGUUCUGUAAGCCUGCGAAGGUGUGCUGUGAGGCAUGCUGGAGGUAUCAGAAGUGCGAAUGCUGACAUAAGUAACGAUAAAGCGGGUGAAAAGCCCGCUCGCCGGAAGACCAAGGGUUCCUGUCCAACGUUAAUCGGGGCAGGGUGAGUCGACCCCUAAGGCGAGGCCGAAAGGCGUAGUCGAUGGGAAACAGGUUAAUAUUCCUGUACUUGGUGUUACUGCGAAGGGGGGACGGAGAAGGCUAUGUUAGCCGGGCGACGGUUGUCCCGGUUUAAGCAUGUAGGCUGAUUAUCCAGGCAAAUCCGGAUAAUCAAGGCUGAGGUGUGAUGACGAGGCACUACGGUGCUGAAGUAACAAAUGCCCUGCUUCCAGGAAAAGCCUCUAAGCAUCAGGUAACAUUAAAUCGUACCCCAAACCGACACAGGUGGUCAGGUAGAGAAUACCAAGGCGCUUGAGAGAACUCGGGUGAAGGAACUAGGCAAAAUGGUGCCGUAACUUCGGGAGAAGGCACGCUGGUGUGUAGGUGAAGUCCCUGCGGAUGGAGCUGAGACCAGUCGAAGAUACCAGCUGGCUGCAACUGUUUAUUAAAAACACAGCACUGUGCAAACACGAAAGUGGACGUAUACGGUGUGACGCCUGCCCGGUGCCGGAAGGUUAAUUGAUGGGGUUAUCCGUAAGGAGAAGCUCUUGAUCGAAGCCCCGGUAAACGGCGGCCGUAACUAUAACGGUCCUAAGGUAGCGAAAUUCCUUGUCGGGUAAGUUCCGACCUGCACGAAUGGCGUAAUGAUGGCCAGGCUGUCUCCACCCGAGACUCAGUGAAAUUGAACUCGCUGUGAAGAUGCAGUGUACCCGCGGCAAGACGGAAAGACCCCGUGAACCUUUACUAUAGCUUGACACUGAACAUUGAGCCUUGAUGUGUAGGAUAGGUGGGAGGCUUUGAAGCGUGGACGCCAGUCUGCGUGGAGCCAACCUUGAAAUACCACCCUUUAAUGUUUGAUGUUCUAACGUUGGCCCCUUACCGGGGUUGCGGACAGUGUCUGGUGGGUAGUUUGACUGGGGCGGUCUCCUCCCAAAGCGUAACGGAGGAGCACGAAGGUUAGCUAAUCCUGGUCGGACAUCAGGAGGUUAGUGCAAUGGCAUAAGCUAGCUUGACUGCGAGCGUGACGGCGCGAGCAGGUGCGAAAGCAGGUCAUAGUGAUCCGGUGGUUCUGAAUGGAAGGGCCAUCGCUCAACGGAUAAAAGGUACUCCGGGGAUAACAGGCUGAUACCGCCCAAGAGUUCAUAUCGACGGCGGUGUUUGGCACCUCGAUGUCGGCUCAUCACAUCCUGGGGCUGAAGUAGGUCCCAAGGGUAUGGCUGUUCGCCAUUUAAAGUGGUACGCGAGCUGGGUUUAGAACGUCGUGAGACAGUUCGGUCCCUAUCUGCCGUGGGCGCUGGAGAAUUGAGGGGGGCUGCUCCUAGUACGAGAGGACCGGAGUGGACGCAUCACUGGUGUUCGGGUUGUCAUGCCAAUGGCACUGCCCGGUAGCUAAAUGCGGAAGAGAUAAGUGCUGAAAGCAUCUAAGCACGAAACUUGCCCCGAGAUGAGUUCUCCCUGAGACUUUAAGUCUCCUGAAGGAACGUUGAAGACGACGACGUUGAUAGGCCGGGUGUGUAAGCGCAGCGAUGCGUUGAGCUAACCGGUACUAAUGAACCGUGAGGCUUAACCUU
Molecule: ribosomal RNA, 2900 nt
Filed under: Klebsiella pneumoniae
Lineage: Bacteria; Pseudomonadati; Pseudomonadota; Gammaproteobacteria; Enterobacterales; Enterobacteriaceae
Description: bacterial LSU rRNA
Rfam family: Bacterial large subunit ribosomal RNA
Source: RNAcentral